UGCAGUCGAGCGAACGGACGAGAAGCUUGCUUCUCUGAUGUUAGCGGCGGACGGGUGAGUAACACGUGGAUAACCUACCUAUAAGACUGGGAUAACUUCGGGAAACCGGAGCUAAUACCGGAUAAUAUUUUGAACCGCAUGGUUCAAAAGUGAAAGACGGUCUUGCUGUCACUUAUAGAUGGAUCCGCGCUGCAUUAGCUAGUUGGUAAGGUAACGGCUUACCAAGGCAACGAUGCAUAGCCGACCUGAGAGGGUGAUCGGCCACACUGGAACUGAGACACGGUCCAGACUCCUACGGGAGGCAGCAGUAGGGAAUCUUCCGCAAUGGGCGAAAGCCUGACGGAGCAACGCCGCGUGAGUGAUGAAGGUCUUCGGAUCGUAAAACUCUGUUAUUAGGGAAGAACAUAUGUGUAAGUAACUGUGCACAUCUUGACGGUACCUAAUCAGAAAGCCACGGCUAACUACGUGCCAGCAGCCGCGGUAAUACGUAGGUGGCAAGCGUUAUCCGGAAUUAUUGGGCGUAAAGCGCGCGUAGGCGGUUUUUUAAGUCUGAUGUGAAAGCCCACGGCUCAACCGUGGAGGGUCAUUGGAAACUGGAAAACUUGAGUGCAGAAGAGGAAAGUGGAAUUCCAUGUGUAGCGGUGAAAUGCGCAGAGAUAUGGAGGAACACCAGUGGCGAAGGCGACUUUCUGGUCUGUAACUGACGCUGAUGUGCGAAAGCGUGGGGAUCAAACAGGAUUAGAUACCCUGGUAGUCCACGCCGUAACGAUGAGUGCUAAGUGUUAGGGGGUUUCCGCCCCUUAGUGCUGCAGCUAACGCAUUAAGCACUCCGCCUGGGGAGUACGACCGCAAGGUUGAAACUCAAGGAAUUGACGGGGACCCGCACAAGCGGUGGAGCAUGUGGUUUAAUUCGAAGCAACGCGAAGAACCUUACCAAAUCUUGACAUCCUUUGA
Molecule: ribosomal RNA, 954 nt
Filed under: Staphylococcus aureus
Lineage: Bacteria; Bacillati; Bacillota; Bacilli; Caryophanales; Staphylococcaceae
Description: bacterial SSU rRNA
Rfam family: Bacterial small subunit ribosomal RNA
Source: RNAcentral